Molecule: ribosomal RNA, 440 nt
Filed under: uncultured bacterium
Lineage: Bacteria
Description: partial 16S ribosomal RNA
Rfam family: Bacterial small subunit ribosomal RNA
Source: RNAcentral
CCUACGGGUGGCAGCAGUGGGGAAUAUUGCACAAUGGGGGAAACCCUGAUGCAGCGACGCCGCGUGAAGGAAGAAGUAUUUCGGUAUGUAAACUUCUAUCAGCAGGGAAGAAAAUGACGGUACCUGACUAAGAAGCCCCGGCCAACUACGUGCCAGCAGCCGCGGUUAUACGUAGGGGGCAAGCGUUAUCCGGAUUUACGGGGUGUAAAGGGAGCGUAGGCGGUGGUGCAAGUCAGAAGUGAAAGCCCGCAGCUCAACUCCGGGACUGCUUUUGAAACUGCGUGGCUAGAGUGCAGGAGGGGCAGGCGGAAUUCCUGGUGUAGCGGUGAAAUGCGUAGAUAUCAGGAGGAACACCGGUGGCGAAGGCGGCCUGCUGGACUGCAACUGACGUUGAGGCCCGAAAGCGUGGGGAGCAAACAGGAUUAGAUACCCGGGUAGUC